CGGGCUAUAGCGCAGCUGGUUAGCGUGCUUGUCUGGGGGGCAAGAGGUCUCGGAUUCGAAUUCCGAUAGCCCGACCA
This 77-nucleotide transfer RNA is filed under the name Treponema sp. RNAcentral's name for it is "tRNA-Pro". Lineage: Bacteria; Pseudomonadati; Spirochaetota; Spirochaetia; Treponematales; Treponemataceae. The record is from RNAcentral. RNAcentral also lists the same sequence under 1 other name.